GACGAACGCUGGCGGCGCGCUUAACACAUGCAAGUCGAACGGAAAGGCCUGCUUUCCCUUGUGGAUUGCGGGUACUCGAGUGGCGAACGGGUGAGUAACACGUGAGUGAUCUGCCCCCAACUUGGGUAUAAGCCUGGGAAACUGGGUCUAAUUCCCGAUAGGACUGCAGGGUGGUGCCUGUGGUGGAAAACGAUUUUCUAGUGGGUGGGGAUGAGCUCGCGGCCUAUCAGCUUGUUGGUGGGGUAAUGGCCUACCAAGGCGGCGACGGGUAGCCGGCCUGAGAGGGUGGACGGCCACAUUGGGACUGAGAUACGGCCCAGACUCCUACGGGAGGCAGCAGUGGGGAAUAUUGCACAAUGGGCGGAAGCCUGAUGCAGCGACGCCGCGUGGGGGAUGACGGCCUUCGGGUUGUAAACUCCUUUCGACCGCGAGGAAGCCACCUGGUUGGAAGGGUGGUGACGGUAGUGGUAGAAGAAGCACCGGCUAACUACGU
This 493-nucleotide ribosomal RNA is filed under the name uncultured bacterium. RNAcentral describes it as "partial 16S ribosomal RNA". It matches the Rfam family "Bacterial small subunit ribosomal RNA", at positions 28 to 506 of the family's 1533-position model. The record is from RNAcentral.